CAGCCGCCACGGUAAUACGAAGGGUGCAAGCGUUAAUCGGAAUUACUGGGCGUAAAGGGCGCGUAGGCGGCUUGUACAGUCAGAUGUGAAAUUCCUGGGCUCAACCUGGGGACUGCAUUUGAUACGUACGGGCUUGAGUGGAGAAGAGGGUUGUGGAAUUUCCAGUGUAGAGGUGAAAUUCGUAGAUAUUGGAAAGAACACCGGUGGCGAAGGCGGCAACCUGGUCUUUAACUGACGCUGAGGCGCGAAAGCGUGGGGAGCAAACAGGAUUAGAGACACCCGUAGUCCCUGUCUCUUAUAC
RNAcentral lists this ribosomal RNA (301 nucleotides) under uncultured bacterium. RNAcentral describes it as "partial 16S ribosomal RNA". It matches the Rfam family "Bacterial small subunit ribosomal RNA", at positions 509 to 807 of the family's 1533-position model. The record is from RNAcentral.